AGCGAACCGGGGGAACUGAAACAUCUAAGUACCCCGAGGAAAAGAAAUCAACCGAGAUUCCCCCAGUAGCGGCGAGCGAACGGGGAGCAGCCCAGAGUCUGAAUCAGCUUGUGUGUUAGUGGAACGGUCUGGAAAGUCCGACGGUACAGGGUGAUAGUCCCGUACACCAAAAUGCACAGGUUGUGAACUCGAAGAGUAGGGCGGGACACGUGGUAUCCUGUCUGAAUAUGGGGGGACCAUCCUCCAAGGCUAAAUACUCCUGACUGACCGAUAGUGAACCAGUACCGUGAGGGAAAGGCGAAAAGAACCCCGGCGAGGGGAGUGAAAAAGAACCUGAAACCGUGUACGUACAAGCAGUGGGAGCCUCUUUAUGGGGUGACUGCGUACCUUUUGUAUAAUGGGUCAGCGACUUAUAUUCUGUAGCAAGGUUAACCGUAUAGGGGAGCCGAAGGGAAACCGAGUCUUAACUGGGCGUUAAGUUGCAGGGUAUAGACCCGAAACCCGGUGAUCUAGCCAUGGGCAGGUUGAAGGUUGGGUAACACUAACUGGAGGACCGAACCGACUAAUGUUGAAAAAUUAGCGGAUGACUUGUGGCUGGGGGUGAAAGGCCAAUCAAACCGGGAGAUAGCUGGUUCUCCCCGAAAGCUAUUUAGGUAGCGCCUCGUGAACUCAUCUUCGGGGGUAGAGCACUGUUUCGGCUAGGGGGUCAUCCCGACUUACCAACCCGAUGCAAACUGCGAAUACCGAAGAAUGUUAUCACGGGAGACACACGGCGGGUGCUAACGUCCGUCGUGAAGAGGGAAACAACCCAGACCGCCAGCUAAGGUCCCAAAGUCAUGGUUAAGUGGGAAACGAUGUGGGAAGGCACAGACAGCCAGGAUGUUGGCUUAGAAGCAGCCAUCAUUUAAAGAAAGCGUAAUAGCUCACUGGUCGAGUCGGCCUGCGCGGAAGAUGUAACGGGGCUAAACCAUGCACCGAAGCUGCGGCAGCGACACUAUGUGUUGUUGGGUAGGGGAGCGUUCUGUAAGC
This 1029-nucleotide ribosomal RNA is filed under the name Citrobacter freundii. RNAcentral's name for it is "partial 23S ribosomal RNA". It matches the Rfam family "Bacterial large subunit ribosomal RNA", at positions 178 to 1248 of the family's 2925-position model. The record is from RNAcentral. Lineage: Bacteria; Pseudomonadati; Pseudomonadota; Gammaproteobacteria; Enterobacterales; Enterobacteriaceae.